AAUAACCAUCCAGCUUCUCUCAGUCUAAAGAUGCACCCCUCCUAAAGUCUGUCAACUGGGCAAAAUGUAUUUGAGUGCAUUGUAGAAGCAGGUCUAGCAGUCAAUGAUCUUUAAUAGAGAUGCAUUGCAUU
This is a long non-coding RNA of Bufo bufo (common toad), 131 nucleotides long. RefSeq lists it as uncharacterized. The record is from RefSeq and is a predicted model, not a curated record. The transcript is spliced from 3 exons. NCBI's taxonomy places the organism in Eukaryota, Metazoa, Chordata, Amphibia, Anura, Bufonidae.